AGGACGAACGCUGGCGGCGUGCUUAACACAUGCAAGUCGAGCGGAAAGGCCCUUCGGGGUACUCGAGCGGCGAACGGGUGAGUAACACGUGAGCAAUCUGCCCUUAGCUUCGAGAUAGCUCCGGGAAACCGGAAUUAAUACCGGAUAUGACUAUGGCUGACAUCAGCCACGGUGGAAAGUUUCUCGGCUAGGGAUGAGCUCGCGGCCUAUCAGCUAGUUGGUGGGGUAACGGCCUACCAAGGCGACGACGGGUAG
RNAcentral lists this ribosomal RNA (255 nucleotides) under uncultured bacterium. RNAcentral's name for it is "partial small subunit ribosomal RNA". It matches the Rfam family "Bacterial small subunit ribosomal RNA", at positions 26 to 286 of the family's 1533-position model. The record is from RNAcentral.